Molecule: non-coding RNA, 110 nt
Organism: Pseudonaja textilis
Lineage: Eukaryota; Metazoa; Chordata; Lepidosauria; Squamata; Elapidae
Source: RefSeq, a predicted model, not a curated record
UUCUGGGAGUUGAAGUCCACAUAUCUUAAAAGUUGCUAAGGUUGAGAAACUCUGCUCUAGAACUAAACUGAAUGGCUGACCUGCAAUAUGGCACUUCAGAUCAAAAGUUA